Long non-coding RNA from Stegodyphus dumicola, 800 nucleotides. The record is from RefSeq and is a predicted model, not a curated record. NCBI's taxonomy places the organism in Eukaryota, Metazoa, Arthropoda, Arachnida, Araneae, Eresidae.
UAGAAUUUGGAACAAGGACUGCGGUUGGCAUAUUGUUUGUGGAACGAGGUAUACAAAAAGAAACACGAUUGUGGUAACCUUGAACUGCUUGUUUUCUUUUAUUCUUUUGUGGGCUUAAAGAAGGGUUACACAGAAGAAGAAAAAUGGGCUUUUGCAAUCUAAAUGAAGCUGUGAAAUGUACACGUAGUAAAUCUGAGUUUACAUAUAAGGUGCAUGUGCGUUCAUAAUGUAUUGCUGUGUUUAGAAAGCUACCGAGGAAAUGUAUAAGGAGCCGUCAGGUUUCCGUGCAGUACAGAUUGGGAACUGCUGCUCUAGAGUUGAAGCCAGCUGUAUAUGACACGACAGAUGAUACUUGAAUUAUAGUUACUUAUAUAUCUCAAAAUUCGGAAAAGAAACUGUAUUCUACAAUGACUGGUACAAUGGUUGAAGAAAAUGCAAAACGCGAAAAACUUGAGUUCAGAAAUUUAUCUGUGGCAACAAAUAAACCGUUAAUAGAGGGUGGGUGGUAUUAUAAUCUCCAACUGACGAAAAUCACUGAUGAAUUAAUUCCCUGGCGCAAAAAUUGAUGGGAUGUAGCAUAAUAUCUCUAAAACUAACACUUAAUAGUCAUUGGCACACAUAUAAGCUGUAAGAGUUGAUUAUUUUUACAAGCACUAUUUCUUUCAGGUAAACAGGAAAAUGAAAAAUUGUCAUUGCAAACAAUAAACUGUUAAAAAAGGAAUAAUGUUUUUAAAAUCAAAAAGAUCUUGAUUGUAUUUGCAGAACGUAAAUGGGACAGUCAUAAGUAAUAAAGAAAAGUG